This 254-nucleotide ribosomal RNA is filed under the name uncultured bacterium. Its description in RNAcentral is "partial 16S ribosomal RNA". It matches the Rfam family "Bacterial small subunit ribosomal RNA", at positions 524 to 776 of the family's 1533-position model. The record is from RNAcentral.
UACGUAGGUGGCAAGCGUUGUCCGGAAUUAUUGGGCGUAAAGCGCGCGCAGGCGGUCUUCCAAGUCAGUGGUGAAAGCCCGGAGCUCAACUCCGGAACUGCCAUUGAAACUGUUGGACUUGAGUAUGAGAGAGGUGAGUGGAAUUCCCAGUGUAGAGGUGAAAUUCGUAGAUAUUGGGAAGAACACCGGUGGCGAAGGCGGCUCUCUGGGACGGUACUGGACGCUGAGACGCGAAAGCGUGGGGAGCGAACAGG